CUUGGGGAGACCAUGGGAGGAGGGAAGGACAAGCAUGAUGAGAGCGACAAGGGGCUCUUCUCAAACAUGAUGCACGGCGUUGCCGGUGGCCAUGGGUACCCUCACCAGGGAUACCCUCCGCAGGGCUACCCACCACCACAAGGAGCAUACCCACCUCCCCCAGGGGCGUAUCCUCCUCCUCCACCAGGGGCAUACCCACCUCCACCUGGGGCAUACCCACCACAACAUGGGUACCCUCAGCCAGGUGGCUACCCACCGCAAGGUGGAUAUCCUCCUGCAGGCUACCCAGGCUCAUCUCACCAGGGUAUGAUACUACAGUUAAUAUACUACAGAGGAGUUUAGAGAUUGUUUUGGUUUGCUCUGUUGUAUUGCUUUUUAUUGUUCAGAUUCAGAACUCGUACACCUUAACUAACAUUUGUAUCCUGAUCAUGUUGGAAAUUGGUAGUAGUUCUAUUUUGUUGAUUCAGUCAAAUGACAAUAGAUAGCUAAGCAUUCCUUUCACAAAAGAAGUGGUCAUGAGAAUAGCUAAUUCGUCCAACUCUAGCAAAUACUCAUUUUCUAUUUACAAAUUAUUGAAACACUUUAUAUACUACACUCAGGUGUUGAGAUUGUUUUGGAUUGCUUUGUUGUAUUGUUAUAUACAUUUUAUUUUUCAGAUUUAAAACUGUACUACCUCAUACAGCUGCACUAACAUUUAUAUAUACAUUUUAUUGUUGUAAUGUUGGAAAUUGGUAUUUCUGUUCUGCUGAUCCAGUCAAACGUUGAAUCUCAGUUCAUGCUAAUGUCUCUUGUGAUUUCAGGUUAU
Molecule: long non-coding RNA, 805 nt
Filed under: Sorghum bicolor (sorghum)
Lineage: Eukaryota; Viridiplantae; Streptophyta; Magnoliopsida; Poales; Poaceae
Description: long non-coding RNA (SBIC_LNC015308)
Source: RNAcentral